CCUAACACAUGCAAGUCGAACGGCAGCAUAGGAGCUUGCUCCUGAUGGCGAGUGGCGAACGGGUGAGUAAUAUAUCGGAACGUGCCCUAGAGUGGGGGAUAACUAGUCGAAAGACUAGCUAAUACCGCAUACGAUCUACGGAUGAAAGUGGGGGAUCGCAAGACCUCAUGCUCCUGGAGCGGCCGAUAUCUGAUUAGCUAGUUGGUGGGGUAAAAGCCUACCAAGGCGACGAUCAGUAGCUGGUCUGAGAGGACGACCAGCCACACUGGGACUGAGACACGGCCCAGACUCCUACGGGAGGCAGCAGUGGGGAAUUUUGGACAAUGGGGGCAACCCUGAUCCAGCAAUGCCGCGUGAGUGAAGAAGGCCUUCGGGUUGUAAAGCUCUUUUGUCAGGGAAGAAACGGUAGUAGCUAAUAUCUAUUACUAAUGACGGUACCUGAAGAAUAAGCACCGGCUAACUACGUGCCAGCAGCCGCGGUAAUACGUAGGGUGCAAGCGUUAAUCGGAAUUACUGGGCGUAAAGCGUGCGCAGGCGGUUGUGUAAGUCAGAUGUGAAAUCCCCGGGCUCAACCUGGGAAUUGCAUUUGAGACUGCACGGCUAG
Molecule: ribosomal RNA, 604 nt
Filed under: uncultured bacterium
Lineage: Bacteria
Description: bacterial SSU rRNA
Rfam family: Bacterial small subunit ribosomal RNA
Source: RNAcentral